This 497-nucleotide ribosomal RNA is filed under the name uncultured bacterium. Its description in RNAcentral is "partial 16S ribosomal RNA". It matches the Rfam family "Bacterial small subunit ribosomal RNA", at positions 28 to 507 of the family's 1533-position model. The record is from RNAcentral.
GAUGAACGCUGGCGGCGUGCCUAAUACAUGCAAGUCGAGCGAACAGACGAGGAGCUUGCUCCUCUGACGUUAGCGGCGGACGGGUGAGUAACACGUGGAUAACCUACCUAUAAGACUGGGAUAACUUCGGGAAACCGGAGCUAAUACCGGAUAAUAUAUUGAACCGCAUGGUUCAAUAGUGAAAGACGGUUUUGCUGUCACUUAUAGAUGGAUCCGCUCCGCAUUAGCUAGUUGGUAAGGUAACGGCUUACCAAGGCGACGAUGCGUAGCCGACCUGAGAGGGGAAUCGGCGCAGAGGGAACUGAGAAACGGUCCAGACUCCUACGGGAGGCAGAAGUAGGGAGUCUUCCGAAAUGGGCGAAAGCCAGAAGGAGCAACACCGCGGGAGUGAUGAAGGUCUUCGAAUCGUAAAACGCUGUUAUUAGGGAAGAACAAAGGUGUAAGUAACAAUGCACGUCUAGACGAUACCUAAUCAGAAAGCCACGGCUAACUAGGUG